AAACUUGUUGAAGAACUGCCCUUGUAUUAUCAGCUAAUGUUGAACUAUAUAGUUUAGUCUUAGCAUUCGAGCCAAACCCCAUUUUGCUGAUCUUGUGAUUGUGGGCCGUUCCCUCAACUAAAGCCUGCUCAGUUAAGUGAACACUGUACUGCAUUAUUAAUGUCAACACUUCAAAAAUGGAUUUCUGUUUAACAAUAGUUAUGGAGUUCUAUUAAGAUCGACUUGUAAUGGCUUAAAAUUUUAAAGAAAGCAAGGUUCAAAAGUGAUUGAAUAGUAUUAAGAUUGUAGGCGCUUAAUGAAUAAUAAAGAGUUUAUAUUAUUAUUCGAUACUAUCAAUUCGGUUACGAAUAUUAUCAUUAAAUAGAUAAAAGAAGUAAAUAAUUUUUUUGAAUAAAAUAAUGAAUAACUUUGAGUCAAGAAAAAUUUGUCUUUGUUUCCAAGAAUUUUAAAGUUGCGCGAUGGGUGUUAUUUUCGCACGAUGAAAACUUUGUAAUUACGUCGAAGUCCCUCAUUUUUGUAACAUUUCAAGGUAAGAACAUAAUUUGUAUAUAUUUUACGCUGAUCACCGGAAGUCAGUAAUGAUAAUAUAUUAUUGCGUGUAUUAUCCUUAUUAGGGUUACAUAGAGCAGCUAGAAAGCAUGUUGAAGGGAGAAGUUGAUAGAGAAAAAAAAAAAAAUUGGGUUUGAGAACAUUAGUGUCAAGGGCGAGUUAAUUUAUAGAGAGAAAUUCCUAAUGGAUAAAAAAAUUAAUAGAAUUGUAUAAUAAUGAUAUAGAGUACUUUUCUUUUUUUGACUUUGUGUAUAUUAUAAUUAAUUGAUGUGUAUUUGCUUAGAUGAGCAACUUUUUUUGUUUGAAAAUUUAAGGAACUCAACCUUCAUCAAUAUAUAAGAUUUAUUAUAUAUUGUAUGUUACACGCACAUGCGUACGAGCACGCACACACACAUAUAUAGUUAUUUUCUAGUAUAAGUGCCCAUAUUUUUUUAUACAAACACACUUUUAAGUGAUACAGUCUAAGAGAGUUAAUUUUUAAUACUAUUAAACCGCACUGCUUCAUAAUUUAUUCAAAAUGAAGUAUUAAAUCUCAUAAAUUAAGAGUAUGUUUGCAUUAAAAUUAAUGAAAAUAGCUGCAUUAGAGAAUGAUUUAUAUAAUCAUUCUUAAUAUCCCUACCUUGCUAAAAUAAAAAUAUCUUUAUACAUAAGACUUUUGUUUGUACUUUGUAAGAUUUGAUUAAAUUAUCACAUACCAAGUUGCAAUAUCAGUAAAAGUCAAGGAUACAUUGUUAUUAAGUUUUAGUCAUUGCUGCUUAGCGAACCAUAAAAACUAACCUAUUAGUUGUAAAAGUCAUCAUUUAGGUCCUCCACGUCAUCCCGACCCUGAUGGGGCGAUGCAUUUUCAUGGUUCUAUAAAUAUGCGAUAUAAAAUAUUUAAAAAAAAAAAAGCUCCAAAAAAAAAAAAACAAAAUAACUUCCAAUAAUACCAAAAAAAAUAAAAAAUCAAACCUGUUAUCAAAAUCAGUUAAAAUACACAACUCAUAAAUUUAUUACAGGUAGCGAGUUAUUAUUGUCAAGCAAGAACUGAUGAUAUUACCUUAACAAGAACAGAAGCACAUCCAGUGAGUUUUCCUAGAAAUUCUUCUUCACUUCUGAACUGUCAUAAG
RNAcentral lists this long non-coding RNA (1658 nucleotides) under Citrus sinensis (sweet orange). RNAcentral describes it as "long non-coding RNA (CSIN_LNC001661)". Lineage: Eukaryota; Viridiplantae; Streptophyta; Magnoliopsida; Sapindales; Rutaceae. The record is from RNAcentral.